Molecule: ribosomal RNA, 463 nt
Filed under: uncultured bacterium
Lineage: Bacteria
Description: partial 16S ribosomal RNA
Rfam family: Bacterial small subunit ribosomal RNA
Source: RNAcentral
GACGAACGCUGGCGGCGUGCUUAACACAUGCAAGUCGAACGGAAAGGCCUUUUCGUAGGUACUCGAGUGGCGAACGGGAGAGUAACACUUGGGUGAUCUUCCCUGCACUCUGGGAUAAGCCUGGGAAACUGGGUCUAAUACCGGAUAGUAGCGCACUCUAGCGUGUGUGGUUGAAAGUUUUUUCGGUGUAGGAUGAGCCCGCGGCCUAUCAGCUGGGUGGUGGGUCAUUGGCCUACCAAGUCGGCGACGGGUAGCCGGACUGAGAGGUUGAUCCGCCACAGCGGGACUGAGAGAAGGCCCACACCCCGCAGCGAGGCAGCUGCGCGGAAUCUUGCCCAAUGGGCGCACCCCCAGUGCUGCGACGCCGCGUGGAGGAUAACGUCCUUCAGGUUGUCAACGGCUUUCGCCAGGGACCAAGCGUCUUGUGACGGUACCUGGAGAAGAAGCACCGGCUAACUACGUG